RNAcentral lists this ribosomal RNA (253 nucleotides) under uncultured bacterium. RNAcentral describes it as "partial 16S ribosomal RNA". It matches the Rfam family "Bacterial small subunit ribosomal RNA", at positions 524 to 776 of the family's 1533-position model. The record is from RNAcentral.
UACGGGGGGGGCAAGCGUUGUUCGGAAUUACUGGGCGUAAAGGGCUCGUAGGUGGCCAACUAAGUCAGACGUGAAAUCCCUCAGCUUAACUGGGGAACUGCGUCUGAUACUGGAUGGCUUGAGUUUGGGAGAGGGAUGCGGAAUUCCAGGUGUAGCGGUGAAAUGCGUAGAGAUGUGGAGGAACACCGAUGGCGAAGGCAGCCUCCUGGGCCAAUACUGACGCUCAUGCACGAAAGCGUGGGGAGCAAACAGG